RNAcentral lists this long non-coding RNA (702 nucleotides) under Salmo salar (Atlantic salmon). RNAcentral's name for it is "lncRNA (ENSSSAG00000112415.1)". Lineage: Eukaryota; Metazoa; Chordata; Actinopteri; Salmoniformes; Salmonidae. The record is from RNAcentral.
GGGGGAGACUAGAUACAAAACUUGAGAACAGACAAACAGAAAACACUGGUAUGACCUGACAAGACAAACUGGCAACAGACAAACAGAAAACACAGGUAUAAAUACACAGGGGAUAAUGGAGAAAACACAGGUAUAAAUACACAGGGGAUAAUGGAGAAAACACAGGUAUAAAUACACAGGAGAUCAUGGAGAAAACAGAAAACACAGGUAUAAAUACACAGGGGAUAAUGGAGAAAACAGAAAACACAGGUAUAAAUACACAGGGGAUAAUGGAUAGUGGAGAAAAGUGGGAGACACCAGGAGGGGGAGGUGGAGACAAGCACAAGACAGGUGAAACAGAUCAGCGAGUGACAAAAUACAGAGGUGAACUAUCAAUUCCCCGGAUUCCUACCGCAAACUCUGAACCCUUUUCAUCUGGAUCAUGGCAGCUACCUAACCGCAACCCGGGUUGACUACUGCUGGCUAACGUUUCCGUCCCGGAGAAAGCACCAACUAGCCUGGGGCUAGCCCAUGCUAGACCCAUCUCCUGGCUAGGGCUCCUGGGCUACUCCUGGCUAACGUUUCCGUCCCGGAGAAAGCACCAACUAGCCUGGGGCUAGCCCAUGCUAGGCCCAUCUCCUGGCUAGGGCUCCUGGGCUACUCCUGGCUAACGUUUCCGUCCCGGAGAAAGCACCAACUAGCCUGGGGCUAGCCCAUGCUAGA